UACGUAGGGGGCAAGCGUUGUCCGGAUUCAUUGGGCGUAAAGAGCGUGUAGGCGGCCAGGUAGGUCGGUUGUGAAAACUGGAGGCUCAACCUUCAGACGUCGACCGAAACCAUCUGGCUAGAGUCCGGGAGAGGAGAGUGGAAUUCCUGGUGUAGCAGGUGAAAUGCGUAGAUAUUGAGCAGGAACACCGUGGCGCAAAGCGGCUCUCUGGACCAACAUUGACGCUGAGGCACGAAAGCGUGGGGAUCAAACAGG
RNAcentral lists this ribosomal RNA (255 nucleotides) under uncultured bacterium. RNAcentral's name for it is "partial 16S ribosomal RNA". It matches the Rfam family "Bacterial small subunit ribosomal RNA", at positions 524 to 776 of the family's 1533-position model. The record is from RNAcentral.